GGCGCGCCCCGGGCGGGGCGGGGGCACGGGGGGAACGCGAAGAACCUUACCUACCCUUGACAUGGCAGGAAUCCUGGAGAGAUUGGGGAGUGCUCGAAAGAGAACCUGCACACAGGUGCUGCAUGGCUGUCGUCAGCUCGUGUCGUGAGAUGUUGGGUUAAGUCCCGCAACGAGCGCAACCCUUGUCAUUAGUUGCUACGCAAGGGCACUCUAAUGAGACUGCCGGUGACAAACCGGAGGAAGGUGGGGAUGACGUCAAGUCCUCAUGGCCCUUAUGGGUAGGGCUUCACACGUCAUACAAUGGUACAUACAGAGGGCCGCCAACCCGCGAGGGGGAGCUAAUCCCAGAAAGUGUAUCGUAGUCCGGAUUGUAGUCUGCAACUCGACUACAUGAAGUUGGAAUCGCUAGUAAUCGCGGAUCAGCAUGUCGCGGUGAAUACGUUCCCGGGUCUUGUACACACCGAACGGA
This 469-nucleotide ribosomal RNA is filed under the name uncultured bacterium. RNAcentral describes it as "bacterial SSU rRNA". It matches the Rfam family "Bacterial small subunit ribosomal RNA", at positions 918 to 1398 of the family's 1533-position model. The record is from RNAcentral.